UCGUUUAAUUUUGGCGAUAGUAAGAGUUCUAGCUGUCCAUCACAUAAAGGUAUUAUACACCAACCGGGGUAAUAUUGAUUCUCGGGCAUUUAGUGGUUAGUGUUUUAUUUUGGUGGAAGCCAUUUAGUGGCAGUUGGUUUAAAGGGGAGAGGGCACAGUGCCAGCAUCCGCGGUUAUUCUGUAUUCUUUUCUUUCACUUGAGUGUCAAACGGUCAGAAGCAUCUAGGUUAUGUAAAAAUUUCUAGUUUUUAAUCUGUUUUCUGUUUUUGAAAAAAUCUGUUUUGUGUGACGCGGAUUAGAUACCCGCUUAUCCGCUGAUUUAAUAUACUGUAGUUUAAAUAACUAAAAAAUUUUGGCAGCAGGCGUUACUGGUCGGGGGAGUGUGCGGCUUAAGGGACAGUCCGCCAAUUAAUUGACCAUUUUUAUGCUGGUGUAUAUCUGGUUAAAAAUUAGUGCCAUUGUGGUUAAAUUUGUGUAGUAGCAGUUAAGCUAAGUCUAUGUGCUGCGUAUAAUGGGGCCCGUGCAUUACAUUUAUAAGUGGGGGGGUUGUUAAUCUACUGAUUUAGGACUCGAUAGUAAUACUGUACUAGUGUGGCAGUAUGAAUCAAGUUUAGCUUGGGUACACACCGCCCGUCACCCUCGUCAUUUGUUGAGGUAAGUCGUAACAAGGUAGCCCCAGAUGAAUCUAGGGCUAAGAGAGAGACUUU
This 707-nucleotide non-coding RNA is filed under the name Breviscolex orientalis. Lineage: Eukaryota; Metazoa; Platyhelminthes; Cestoda; Caryophyllidea; Capingentidae. The record is from RNAcentral.